GGUUGCUUUUACCGAAAUCACUUGACUUUGUCAAACAAAAUACCACAGCGUUUCUCUUUCCAAAAAAGUACACGAGACGACAUAAAGGAGGAGGCGUGGACACAUGGUGGGCAAUGACGACUGCACUUUUCUCCAAACAGACCAGCACUACACACUAUGAAGUAGAGGAGAAAGCACUGUGUAAAAGCAGCUCUAAUCUGACAUGAGUUCUUAGAGAUGCAGACAACCAUAUAAACUCACUGUGUUGACACUGAGCUCCCCAAAAUCCCGGUUUGCACAAGCAGGUUCCUGUAUGUGCCUGACAGGUGGCGCUGUUGAGGCAGGAGCAGGUCUGGUUGCACUGAAUUCCCCAUGUUCCUUCUGGACACUGCUGUGUACAGCGCACACCUGCAGACCACCAGAUGAGUUCACUCGAAAAACACAGUCCUAC
Molecule: long non-coding RNA, 430 nt
Filed under: Danio rerio (zebrafish)
Lineage: Eukaryota; Metazoa; Chordata; Actinopteri; Cypriniformes; Danionidae
Description: si:dkey-181c1.7 (ENSDARG00000097142.2)
Source: RNAcentral